ACACGCAUGACACACUGCAUAUCAAUAAGCGGAGGAAAAGAAACUAACAAGGAUUCCCUUAGUAACGGCGAGUGAAGCGGGAAGAGCUCAAAUUUGAAAUCUUCAAGGGUUUACCUUUACGAAUUGUAGUUUAAAGAAGUGUUUUCUGUUGAAGUUUUGGUAAAAGUUCUUUGGAAUAGGACAUCAUAGAGGGUGAGAAUCCCGUAUUUGACCAUUAUUUUCAGCUGUGUGAUACACUUUCAAAGAGUCGGAUUGUUUGGGAAUGCAGUCCAAAAUGGGUGGUAAAUUUCAUCUAAAGCUAAAUAUUGGCGAGAGACCGAUAGCGAACAAGUACCGUGAGGGAAAGAUGAAAAGAACUUUGAAAAGAGAGUUAAACAGUACGUGAAAUUGUCAAAAGGGAAGCGUUUGACACCAGUGUUGUUUUCUCGAAAAUCAAUUAAAAAAGGCCGGAUUUUGUGUUGUAUUGACCUUAAAAGCUUUCUUCACUCUUUUCUUGUCUUUUUUAAUGCACUUUUCGUUUAACAAGUCAACAUCAGUUUCUUUUGUUGUAAAAGGGUCAUUGGAAGGUGGCUUUCUUUUCGGAGAAAGUGUUUAUAGCCUUUGAUCUCUGCAACCGGAGAGACUGAGGUCUGCAGCGUAGACUCUUCGGGGUUAGAUACAUUUGUGCUAAGCUAUAGCUUUUUAUAGACAACUUGUUGACUAUAUCUAGUCUUGUGGCUUACUCGCUUAUGCUAUUUUACCUACGCUUAGGAUGUUGAGCGCAUGUCUCUCUCU
RNAcentral lists this ribosomal RNA (774 nucleotides) under uncultured Neocallimastigales. RNAcentral describes it as "partial large subunit ribosomal RNA". It matches the Rfam family "Eukaryotic large subunit ribosomal RNA", at positions 23 to 616 of the family's 3401-position model. The record is from RNAcentral. Lineage: Eukaryota; Fungi; Neocallimastigomycota; Neocallimastigomycetes; Neocallimastigales.